This 436-nucleotide ribosomal RNA is filed under the name Chromodoris aff. striatella WA A. RNAcentral describes it as "partial 16S ribosomal RNA". It matches the Rfam family "Bacterial large subunit ribosomal RNA", at positions 1817 to 2597 of the family's 2925-position model. Lineage: Eukaryota; Metazoa; Mollusca; Gastropoda; Nudibranchia; Chromodorididae. The record is from RNAcentral.
AGCCUUUGGAAAGGAUCAAAGGUUAUACCUGCCCAAUGUUAUAUUAAUGGCCGCGGUACUUUGACCGUGCUAAGGUAGCACAAUCAAUUGGCCCUUAAUUAGGGUCAGGUAUGAAUGGAGUUACGGGGCUUAGCUGUCUCUAAACUAUUUAAUUGAAGUUGCUGUAUAGGUGAAAAAGCCUAUAUAAAGAAAAAAGACGAGAAGACCCUUAGAGUUUUACUUAUAAAAGAGUUAUAUUCUUCACUAGUUUUGUUGGGGCAACAUGGGAGAAAAUUUAAACCUCCUAAAAGCAUAUAAACCGAUAUUUUUAAAUGUGAAUAAACUACCUUAGGGAUAACAGCAUAAUUUUAAAAAUAAGUUUGUGACCUCGAUGUUGGACUAGGAAACUCAAGGGCUAGCCGCCUUUUGGUAAGGUUCUGUUCGAACUAUAAUUCCU